CACCACUCAAGCCUGGCUUGGUAUUGGGCGUCGCGGUUCCGCGCGCCUUAAAGUCUCCGGCUGAGCUGUCCGUCUCCCAGCGUUGUGACACACGAUCGCUCCGAGUUCGAACAGCCGCGGCCGUUAAACUUAUCUAAA
This 138-nucleotide unclassified non-coding RNA is filed under the name uncultured Zasmidium. RNAcentral's name for it is "sequence contains ITS2". The record is from RNAcentral. Lineage: Eukaryota; Fungi; Ascomycota; Dothideomycetes; Mycosphaerellales; Mycosphaerellaceae.